Long non-coding RNA from Panicum virgatum (switchgrass), 1910 nucleotides. RefSeq lists it as uncharacterized. The record is from RefSeq and is a predicted model, not a curated record. The transcript is spliced from 5 exons. Lineage: Eukaryota; Viridiplantae; Streptophyta; Magnoliopsida; Poales; Poaceae.
GCUGCCAGAUUCUCCCCCGAAGUUGGUGCCACCAGGAUGGGCCGCCCAUCGUCUGCCUGCCCACCGCAAUGCUUUCCCAGGCACCGAGCAAGGCAAAUUUGUUGGGACCCACUCCUCUCCUCGUAUUCUCCUCCCUGGUCUGGCCAUAGCGCCUUGACGAGCAUGCAUUCUUCUCCACAAACUCAACAAUGGAGUCUUCCUCCUCUUCUUAGAUCCAGAUUUUUCGGAAGUUGGUGAGGAGCCCCAAUGGCGGUUGGAAAAGAGGAACGGAGCCAUCGGAAAGAGCUGGUUCAGCGUAUUUCAAUCGACGAACCAGCAACGGGCCGGGAUUUGUUUCGAUUGAACCAGCAACGGCCUGUUCAUAGCUGCUACCAUUCAUGCUCCAAUCACACUUCAACCAUGGAGGCAUGGGGAAUCAAAUGGGUCUGUUCUAUUCCUAAUCGAUUUCCGAAACUAGGUUCCGAACCAUCUUGCACUGCAUCCACUGUUUGUUUUUACGAGUAUUUUUCUGUCUACAUUUCUUGUUUGUUCACAAGCAAAUCAGGUGCAGGAAUGACAUUCCAGGAUAUAUAUGGUAAUGAGAGCCGGCAGUGGAGUGUUGAACACUGCAGCUGAUGAGUUGAAUGGAAAAAAAUGGUAGUAGCAGCGUAGAAGAAGGAUUAGACCUCCAAUGGAUAUUCAGGAGUUGUUUGGAUGUUGAAAGUUACCCUGUGGAACAUAACUCAUCUGUGGAAGCUGAAUCUUCCUCCAUUUGCGUGGGAGAUGGUGGCAGAAAGUCCAUAGGACUUUCGACAGGAGAGGAGGCUGCUGGCAACCAGAAUGAAUCAGUGCAGUUUGUCUUAGAAAUGGAACACGAAGGGAAUGAUUCUGCCCAACGCACAAUGAUCAGUACAGAAACUGUAGCUCAGCCAUGGCCUAAAGGAAUAGACAUUGGGAAAACUAUUGUUUAUGAUAAAUAUUCUACCAUGUUCUAACAAGAGAUGCACAUGACUAAAAGAUGCACCUGAUCAUUACAUAUAGCCCAUGGGUGACAACAAAGCUUGAUCAAAAUGAGUUGUAUCUAUAUCUAGUUCCCUUCCUUUUUCAGUAAGAGGCUGCCUCAAGGCACCUAAAGGGUGCCCCCAAAGCUUAAUGGGUGCAAUCGAGAGGGCGCUACACAAUUCUUCAAAUAGAAAGGGUAAAUACACCUGGAAUGACUUUUGAUUGCGUGAGUGAAGCACAAGAGUUUUAUUUUAUAUAUAUAUAUAUAUAUAUAUAUAUAUAUAUAUAUAUAUAUAUUCUUGGGAGGAUGGAUUUGGUACAAAGGAGGAGGAUAAAUAUGGGAAAAUAAUGCAAGAAUUUCAAAGCCAGUACCAUGCAACCGAGUUGCUAAUGUUAAUGGAAGUUGUUGUGAGUAUGCUGCUACCGAAACAGAUUGUGAAUCCAUCGGAACUUGUAUGGUGCAGCAGGAUCUAGUGCUAGUUUGAGUGAAAAUGAGGCGUGGUGUUCAAAGGAUGAAUCGCUACAAGACAAGGAAUGAGAUAAUAAGGGAGAAAUUGAAGCAGUUAGGGAGGAAGGUUUGCAAGAAGAAGAAGAAAACAAGAAGUGUUGCAGCACCCGCGGGCUUGAUGACCAACAUGUCAGAAUGCGUAACAAAAAAUGUUGGUAUUACUGAGAAUGGGGAGUUCUAAUUUCAACUGAUGCUAGUAUCUGGACCUGAUGGUAGAUGGUGUUUUGGUUGUUGGACAUGCAAGAUUUGCAGUGCCUACAAUCCAUUUUGCAUGUAGGUCCCUUUGAUUGAUGGUUCAUGUAUUUGCGUGUGGAUGCCAAGUUAUUAUCUUUUUAUAUCACUACUAAAUGUAUUGUUGAGACAAUUUAAUAUACCACUGGCACGAUUCAAUGGAAAAUAUUUGGCACUGUUGACCAAUCUA